Molecule: unclassified non-coding RNA, 1022 nt
Filed under: Agrilus planipennis (emerald ash borer)
Lineage: Eukaryota; Metazoa; Arthropoda; Insecta; Coleoptera; Buprestidae
Description: dNA repair protein xrcc4-like, transcript variant X4
Source: RNAcentral
AAACAAAGUCAUAUUUGCCCUGUAACCUAUAAAAUGUAUUCAAUAAGUUAAUAUAUUUAGUAUUGAAAUUAAAUUUUUCAAAAGAAGCAAUUUCACAUUAAAGAAAACACCAAAUUUAAAAAAAGAUGUCUACAGAAAAGUUGUUUACCACUCAGAUUAAUGGAAAUCCAUCUAAAUUAAAGAUAUGUUGGUGUGAUAAUUAUUUUCAACUAACGAUUCUUGAAGCAGAUAGUGCCUGGACUGCUAUGAUCCCAAAAGAUAAGUUACCUGAAAUUGCUAUACAAUUAGACCAAGAUUGUGAAUCUUACAAUAAGGCUCUGUAUUCAUAUUUAUUUAAUCCUGAAGAUUCUACAAACAUUUCAUUUGCAGUACAGAAUAAAUCAUUUAUUAUUCAUAAACAGAUUGAGGUAAAGGUCAACAUGGUAUAAUAUAUUUUAGAAGGAGUACCAUAACUGUGCUGAAGAACUUCUUGAUGAAUUAUUAACUAAAAACUCAUUCUAUGAAAAUCAAAUUUCUUCUUUGCAGCAACUUCUUGAAAAGGAAAUUAAAGAAAGAACUAGUAUUUCUGAAAAAUAUGAGGAAUUUCAAAAAGAUAUUGAAAAUAAGGAAAAAACACUUUACAGCUCUUUUGUUCUUUUAUUAAAUGAGAAAAAGAAAAGAAUUCAAUAUUUAACAGAAUUAUUGGACAGUAACAGAAACAGUGAUUUAUCGGUUAAUGAUAAUAAAGUUGUAAGUAAAAAGGAAAAAGAAAAUGAAGGUGAUAGUGACCUAGGUGACAACGUUAUAAGGAAAAAAAAGACUAAUUCUAAAAAAGAAACUAUUUCUGAUUCAGAAAGUAAUGAUUCUGCCCAAAACUCCUCCAAGGAAAGUGCUUAUGAUACUGAUGAAGAAAAAGAUAACAAGAUUAAAUCACUACACAAAUCCAGCAGCAUUCAUGAGCCAAGUUCAUCUAAAAAUGAUGUGGUAUCCCUUUUUCAGGAUUACUCUCAUACAGUUGUAUUACCUCCAAAGAGAAGAAAAAA